UGUCGAUUACAAAUUCCCUUAUUAAAAUAAACACAAAUUAAUAAAAAUAAAAAAACUAAAAAUACAUCAGUUAGAAAUUUAGAAGAAAGUUUUUUGUUUUGUUUUGUUUUGUACAGGCUCAGAUUUCAACUUGAUAAGCAUUUCUACAAUUACUUCAUAGUGACUCCUCUCCUGGGCCAGUCUCUGUAAUGUUUAACACUGUUAAAGAUGUUUCUAGAGGAUCUUGCUCCACACCUCCAUUAUCAGCUCCUUUGUAAUCUCUGGUUUGUGCAUCAGGAGGCUGCUUGUGAUUUCAGACCACAGGUUUCCCUGUACGGCUCCAAUCCAGAGACUGAACAGAGGGACGAAAAACAACAGGGAGUUCCGGCAAGAGACGAGCAGACGGUCUGUUAACGGUCCUGCUGGCAUGCACUCUACUCUACAGCUUAGUCUUCUGAAGAGACCCCAAGCUCAGUGUGUGUAUCAGCUCCACAUACAUAUUAACAUUAUUAUACCUAUUAAUGAGAGUCGAGAGUUUUGUGACAUAUUAACCACUGCUGCAUGACACGUUGGCAAGAACCAAUCCUCUGGAAACGCCUCUGUGACGUAUUGCACUACAUAUUCAUCAUCAGGUAGUGUAGAUAACGCUCAGACUAGCUAAUUCGAUAUUUUAAAUGUUUUAAAAAGGAAAAUCCAUUAACAUUUUGACAGAUUUAUUGAUUAUUUAUUGUUGUUCACCUCAGUAUACUGGAGUCAAACUUAAAUAUUGAAAAUAAAUAGCAUUUAGACUUUUGCUAAAUGCUAUUUAGAAAAGCGCGUUCUGCUGUGUUUUGAAUGUGAUUCAGGCCAUUCAGAUUUGAAUUUAUGCUAAAGUAUCCCUGACCAAGUGUUGAGUGUGUUAAUGAGCAUGCUUUUUAAAAGGUAGACAUUUCUAUAUUGUAAAUAAUCUUUUGAUUGAUCUUAGCAAAUAUUCAAUUUGAAGAUACUGGAUUUCUGAUUUUCAUGAGCUGUAAGCCGUAAUUAUCGAAAUUGAAAACAAGCCACAAUAGUCAGCAGAGUGGUAAAUCCCAUACAGGAACAGCCUGACUCUUCUUUUUGUUAAUUUGUGUUUUUCCCCUCAUGGACCAUGCUAACAACCAAAUAACGUUGUAGUUGUUCUUCUGUUGUCCACCAGAGUUGUUUUUUCAGUGGCCUUUUGGUGUUCAUAUCUGUGUUCUGCCUUUUUAAGACUUACUUGAUUUUACUAACCCUAAUAUCUAAAACACUACUGCUCAUCAAAUGGCUGAGCAUUCAACUGUCCAAUUCCUUUUGGUUUCUUAAGAAGGGAGGAGCCGUAUGGAAGUGCAGUAAUUUCUACAUCGUUUACCCGAGUUAGUUGUCUCACAUUAAAGCUAAAAGUCUGCACUUUGGAAUUUAAAUUCAACUCCAGUGUGAUUGCUUCCAUUGCCAUGGUGAAAACUAGUGGACAAUAAAUGUGCAACCCGCCAUGUCCCCUAUUUCAAGUCUCUGCCAUGUGGUGAUAAAGUCAGGUAUUGUAAAGCAGAAUCGCAGAUCUUGGAAAUAGAUCUUGAUCAAAACUGUUGAAGGCCGUCCAAAUGUGCUGUGGGGACCUGAGCCAAACGCAUUUGCCAGGUGGAGGAUGACAACAUGCAGAUCGCUCUUCUCAACCUUGGCAAGUUGGAUUUGGAUUUGCUCCAGACAUUCUGAAACCCCUGGAAUACCUUUACUGUUGACAUUUUACAGAAGGGUGUCUGGUGACAGAAAUGUAGCUGAAGAUGACCUGGCCAGACUGAAGUGGACUGGAGAGUGUUUAGAGUGGUUAGAACGAGGCCCUUGAAUUCCAUCAGGCGGGAUCUUAAUUAAGAAGCAACGCCUUUAAAUGGGUUCUGCUCAGAACUACAGUACUAUUCCUGAAACCAAAAGACACCAACAGGGGCGGACUGGGACCAAAAAGUGGCCCUGGACGUCCUGACCCACAGCAGCCCACAUCAUAAUACAUUGGCUCAUUAAUGUAGAGAUACAUUUUCAACACCAGUUACAAGUAUAAAAAUACAACACAAUACAGAAAUUAAUCCUUAUACCUAUACUGGGUCAUAUUAGUAAAACAAAGGAAACAUCAAGACAAAACAUAUAAAUCUAUAAAGACAAUAUUUUAUCUAUAUAUAAUUAUAUUUAUAUUAUAUGUAAAAGGAAUGGCAAUAAAACUGAACAGGUAAGCUGAAAUAAAAUCAGGAGCAGCAUUAGCUCACACUAGUAAACUAGUUACUUAUUUUAAUUAUUUUGGAGUCAAUGCUGAGAAACAUUAUUUUGAAUUAAUAUUGACUACCAUAAUAAUAACUAGCACGAGUUAAGAAGAGUUAGUACGAGUUAAUGCUGCUCCUGAUUUUAUUCCAGAUUACCUGUUCAGUUUGAUUGCCAUCCUUUUCACUCGGCUCUGGUAGAUCAGGGGGUUGGUGUUGGUCAUUUUCAGCAGGCACUGGGUCAUCAUCACUGACCUGCUGCACUUACAGCUUACACUGAUGAGUGGUGUAUCUCACACUGAUGAGUGGUGUAUCUCACACUGAUGAGUGGUGUAUCUUACACUGCAUCACGAUGAUACCCCCUGCGAAAUGUUCAUAAUAUCUCACAAAAAAAAGGUUAAUUUGUCUUUUUCUCACAAAGUGUUUAGGUGAAAUUCCACCCAUACAAGUGUAACAAAUAUGCAAAAAAAAAAGAGGAGAGGGGCAAAUACUUUUUCAUGGCACUGCACAUGUAGUCAGAUUGUUCCACUGGGAUGAAACUGUGCCAGGUGGCAUUAUGGCACUUACUAACUUUACACUGAUCUGAACAAUUUGAUUAAUGAACUUAUUGUUCUUUCCUUUGUUUCUUUGUUUUACAAAUAUGACCCAAAAUAUGUUCAGUGAUACUUUUUUAUUUUCGUUUUUGUUUGUGUUAUAUUUUUAUACUAGUAAGUGGUUUUAAAAAUGAAUCUCCACUUUAAUGAUCCAGGAUCUGUUCAUUUAAAGCAUUUCACAGCAUUUACCUCUAAAGCUUUUUUUUAAUUUUCAUGUAAUUUUAAGCUCCACCUUUUCUUCUUCCUCUUUUUCAUUCAUUAAAACUAUUAAUUUGCUCAAAGAAAUUUGCUGCAUCGAGAAAGGAUCAAUAUCUCUCCCUCCGUAAAAUAAAAGUGAAGGUGUCUAAUUAAUAUUGACAACACGCUCUUUGUUGGCGGCGCCCGUUCGAUCGACGCACUUAUCAAUAUGAGUAGGAAAAAGAUGCAAUAUUAUGGUUUUCAUCAUUUUUUAUAUAUUUGCUUACUGACUGGGCCGGCCCACACUGGCUAGCGGCCCACCGGGAAAACCGGGAAAGCCCACCCAAGUUUCUGUUUUUCUUCACUUUAUCUUUUAUAAACAUUCCAGACCAGAUGUGAACGCUCCUGCACCCACGUGUUUUUGGUUCUUUGUGAGUGCGUAUAUACACUCCUGUCUCCCACAAUAAACUUUGAACAUCACACUGA
This is a long non-coding RNA of Clarias gariepinus (North African catfish), 3475 nucleotides long. RefSeq lists it as uncharacterized. NCBI's taxonomy places the organism in Eukaryota, Metazoa, Chordata, Actinopteri, Siluriformes, Clariidae. The record is from RefSeq and is a predicted model, not a curated record. The transcript has 4 exons.